RNAcentral lists this ribosomal RNA (241 nucleotides) under uncultured bacterium. RNAcentral's name for it is "partial 16S ribosomal RNA". It matches the Rfam family "Bacterial small subunit ribosomal RNA", at positions 15 to 245 of the family's 1533-position model. The record is from RNAcentral.
GAUCAUGGCUCAGGAUGAACGCUAGCUACAGGCUUAACACAUGCAAGUCGAGGGGCAGCAUGAACUUAGCUUGCUAAGUUUGAUGGCGACCGGCGCACGGGUGAGUAACACGUAUCCAACCUGCCGAUGACGUCGGGGAUAGCCUUUCGAAAGAAAGAUUAAUACCCGAUGGCAUAGUUCUUCCGCAUGGUUGGAACUAUUAAAAGAAUUUCGGUCAUCGAUGGGGAUGCGUUCCAUUAGG